RNAcentral lists this ribosomal RNA (240 nucleotides) under uncultured bacterium. RNAcentral describes it as "partial 16S ribosomal RNA". It matches the Rfam family "Bacterial small subunit ribosomal RNA", at positions 94 to 334 of the family's 1533-position model. The record is from RNAcentral.
AGCGGCGGACGGGUGAGUAACGCGUGGGUAACCUGCCUCAUACAGGGGGAUAACAGUUGGAAACGGCUGCUAAUACCGCAUAAGCGCACAGUACCGCAUGGUACGGUGUGAAAAACUCCGGUGGUAUGAGAUGGACCCGCGUCUGAUUAGGUAGUUGGUGGGGUAACGGCCUACCAAGCCGACGAUCAGUAGCCGACCUGAGAGGGUGACCGGCCACACUGGGACUGAGACACGGCCCAG